GAAGUAAAUAAAAAUGAACUUCUAAUUCAUUAUUUUAUGGAAAUUUAAAACCAUAUUACUUCU
RNAcentral lists this transfer RNA (63 nucleotides) under Atta texana. Its description in RNAcentral is "tRNA-Ser". The record is from RNAcentral. Lineage: Eukaryota; Metazoa; Arthropoda; Insecta; Hymenoptera; Formicidae.